UCAAAUGAUGAAUUGGCACUGGGCUCCGAUCAACACUUGAGCAGAUAUGCCAUUUUGUGACAGGCCUAGAAAACCUCGUCCACUGAUC
This is a small nucleolar RNA of 88 nucleotides. It matches the Rfam family "A. fumigatus snoRNA Afu_513". The record is from Rfam.